Molecule: long non-coding RNA, 1647 nt
Organism: Ictalurus punctatus (channel catfish)
Lineage: Eukaryota; Metazoa; Chordata; Actinopteri; Siluriformes; Ictaluridae
Source: Ensembl
GUUAUUAGCUGAUGUGAUGCAUAUAUGGUUAUGACUUUGUCAGGAAUCUUACCUCAAAAUCGGUGUGGAGACGUUCACACAGUAAAAGAUUCAGGACCUCCAGCGAAAUAUGCAUUUGUUCCGUGGCUUUUAAAGAGCAAUUGUUGUACAUGGAAGCCUCAUCUUGUUAGAAACUGGAAAUCGAUAGUGUUUAUGAACGUUUUUUCCCCCUAACUUGAACACAAUGUGAACACAAUGUAAAGACGAUUAUAUCAAAUCUAAAUUCACACCAACAGGGGAUUUGGGCACAAGCUACUUAAUUAUUAAAUGACGGUGUUUUCAGGGCCAAGCCUGUCACCAUUAUUGUUUUAAGCUAUAGCCAUUUUAAAUGUUAGGCUGCUCACUCAACAUAACUUAUUCGUUUCAACCUUAAAGUUGAGCAGAUUCACAGAAACAUGUUGUAUUACACAUGUCUAUACAAUGCACUGCAUAUUGAAGUACAUAGGCCUGUUUUUUUUUUGUUUUUGUUUGUUUUGCCCAGUUUCAUUGCUAAUGCUGGAAAACUGUUCUAAGUUUAGAGGUUUGUGAGAAAACACUGAUGAAGUAUCAUUCAAAGCCAGUAUAGAAAUAUGCAUCAUUUAUACUUGAGAAUGUUUUAAACUAUUGCACUGAUGGCUGAUUUUAUGAACAGUUGGUAUCACAACCAACUUUGAAAGAUACUAUUUUUCUAAAUGGAAAAAAAAAAUCAUAUUGUAUGGAAGCUCCAUGGUAGGUUAGUCUUCUCUCACUUUUGGCAAAGACAUUGAAAUGUCUGUAGAUGUGGAUUUUAGAACGUUGUAAAGUGUUCAGUAAUUCUUGGAGCACUUCUUCACAGAAGUCCCGUCCUCCUCUUUUUAAGGGGGGCGUUACAUGGUAAAAUCGGUGUAGCGCAAUGUUACACAAUGCACAAGUCUUUACUUGAUAAUGCCAUAACAUUUAUGACAUGAGAGUAAAAAAAUACCAUCCUUGGUUGAGAUAAAUGUCAAAUGACUGUGAUUUUAUUGGACCAACUUUUUGGAAUUCUUCUUUUCUACAAAGAGAAGUUCAUAAAAAGAGACCAAACCACUGAUCUCUUGUUAUGCUUUUGUGAAUUAUGUUGUUGUUUUUAUAUCUGUCUAGAAGGUUUGUUCUUAAUGUUUAAAAUGGUGUGAGUGGUCAUAUUUUGAAAGAUAUUACAUGUUGUAUUUGUAUCUUUGUACAAAAGCCUUUUUAAAUAUUAAAUUCUGCUUUUUUAAAAAAAAAGAGCGUUAUGUUGUUCACUGAGUGGAUUUGUAGCCUAAACUAGCUAAUAGAUAUUUACAUUAUCAUGUUAGCCAUUUAAUGGGUUUAGUUAACUUUGAGUUGUUCAGCUUAGCAUGUUCAGCUUACUAGCUUGAUUGCAAUUUUGGCUCAGCAGUAUACACAGAGCAAUCUACAAUCUGGUAUCAGUCCCUCCAGAGUUUUGCGAGUGCAGAAGUUAAUUCAAAAUCAAGGAAACGCCACGUUAUUUAGAGGAGCUUGAAAUUUUUCCAAAAUCACUGCAGAUUUUGGCGAAGACGUAUCAUGUGACGUCAUUGCAACGAUCACAUUCAGCCAAAGCUCUCUUGGAUUCAUGUGUCGUAAGUAAAAACUAAAAGAUCUCAUUUAGCA